RNAcentral lists this long non-coding RNA (269 nucleotides) under Setaria viridis. Its description in RNAcentral is "long non-coding RNA (SVIR_LNC007784)". The record is from RNAcentral. Lineage: Eukaryota; Viridiplantae; Streptophyta; Magnoliopsida; Poales; Poaceae.
GGGACUGGACUGGAGAUCGGGCACUUGUACUCGGGAAAAGCUGAGAUAGGGAUUAGGGACUCGGAUUAAGAUUAACUCAUGCGAUUUGGGGUCGGUCGUCACAGCCUACCCCCCUUAAAGAGAAUCUCGUCCCGAGAUUCGGAUGUAGAAGUAACCGGUGGGGGUGUGCAGUCCUUACCUCCUUGGUUGGAGAGGAAACCUGGGAAAAGCUUGUUCAAGUACUCUUCUAUCUCCCAUGUAGCUUCAUCCUCCGUGUGGUUUCUCCAGAG